GACGAACGCUGGCGGCGUGCCUAAUACAUGCAAGUCGAGCGCGGGAAGCUUGCGGAAUCCUUCGGGAGGAAGUGAGCGGACCGAGCGGCGGACGGGUGAGUAACACGUGGGCAACCUGCCCGUAAGACGGGGAUAACCCCGGGAAACCGGGGCUAAUACCGGAUAGGUGACCUUUCUGCAUGGAGGGGUCAUGAAAGGCGGCGGAAGCCGUCGCUUACGGAGGGGCCCGCGGCGCAUUAGCUAGUUGGUGAGGGAAGGGCUCACCAAGGCGACGAUGCGUAGCCGGCCUGAGAGGGUGAACGGCCACACUGGGACUGAGACACGGCCCAGACUCCUACGGGAGGCAGCAGUAGGGAAUCUUCCGCAAUGGACGGAAGUCUGACGGAGCAACGCCGCGUGAGUGAGGAAGGCCUUCGGGUCGUAAAGCUCUGUUGUUCGUGAAGAAGGGGUUGGCCAGGAAAUGGGCCGACAUUGACGGUAGCGAACCAGAAAGCCCCGGCUAACUACGUGCCAGCAGCCGCGGUAACACGUAGGGGGCAAGCGUUGUCCGGAAUGAUUGGGCGUAAAGGGCGCGCAGGCGGCCUCUUAAGUCUGAUGUGAAAGCCCACGGCUCAACCGUGGAGGGACAUUGGAAACUGGGGGGCUUGAGUGCAGGAGAGGGGAGUGGAAUUCCACGUGUAGCGGUGAAAUGCGUAGAGAUGUGGAGGAACACCAGUGGCGAAGGCGGCUCUCUGGCCUGUGACUGACGCUGAGGCGCGAAAGCGUGGGGAGCGAACAGGAUUAGAUACCCUGGUAGUCCACGCCG
RNAcentral lists this ribosomal RNA (805 nucleotides) under uncultured organism. RNAcentral's name for it is "SSU rRNA". It matches the Rfam family "Bacterial small subunit ribosomal RNA", at positions 28 to 802 of the family's 1533-position model. The record is from RNAcentral.